Molecule: ribosomal RNA, 260 nt
Filed under: uncultured prokaryote
Description: partial 16S ribosomal RNA
Rfam family: Bacterial small subunit ribosomal RNA
Source: RNAcentral
UACGUAGGGGCGAGCGUUGUCCGGAAUGAUUGGGCGUAAAGGGCGCGUAGGCGGCUGUGCAAGUCAGUAGUGGAAGCCCAGCUUUUAAGGUUGGAAGUGCUAUUGAAACUGUGCAGCUUGAGUGCAGGAGAGGUUAUCGGAAUUCCCGGUGUAGCGGUGAAAUGCGUAGAGAUCGGGAGGAACACCAGUGGCGAAGGCGGGUGACUGGACUGCAACUGACGCUGAGGCUCGAAAGCGUGGGGAGCAAACAGGAUUAGAUA